RNAcentral lists this transfer RNA (77 nucleotides) under Leptolyngbya sp. FACHB-16. Its description in RNAcentral is "tRNA-Leu". It matches the Rfam family "tRNA". Rfam says of the family: Transfer RNA (tRNA) molecules are approximately 80 nucleotides in length. The record is from RNAcentral. Lineage: Bacteria; Bacillati; Cyanobacteriota; Cyanophyceae; Leptolyngbyales; Leptolyngbyaceae. RNAcentral also lists the same sequence under 4 other names.
ACUCCUGUAGCCCAAUCGGAAGAGGCGGCUGUCUCAAAAACAGUCUCGUGUGGGUUCAACUCCCACCAGGAGUACCA